Long non-coding RNA from Drosophila sulfurigaster albostrigata, 164 nucleotides. RefSeq lists it as uncharacterized. The record is from RefSeq and is a predicted model, not a curated record. The transcript has 2 exons. NCBI's taxonomy places the organism in Eukaryota, Metazoa, Arthropoda, Insecta, Diptera, Drosophilidae.
UAAUAACUGUUCGUUAUUUUUCAUAGACGCCAGCAAACUUCAUGUUUACUCCAUGUGUUGGUUUAAUAAAAAUAACGAAGAAUUAAUUAUUCCCUUGAAAAUUAUUAUUUGAAUGCAUGGAUUUGAAUGUAAAUAAAUGUAAAUAAAUAAGUUUGUUUAUAAAU